AUGAGAAAACUGAAGCAAAAUGACUUGCCCAGGGUGAGACAGCUAGUGUCAGAGGCUAGAUUUGAACUCAGACCUUCUUGAUUCCAGGUCUUGAAUUCUAUCCAUUGUGACAACAUGUUAUCUCAUAUGAUAGUCUCAUCUGCCUCUCAAGUUCACUGAGGUACAUAUGUAAGGGCUUAAACAACAAUAGCAUUGGAGGAGAAAAGGAACCAUAUUCAACAGACAAAUUUUGGAGGCUCCACAUUUUCAUUUUGAAUGAGAUAAAGUGAUGUCUUGACUUGAAAGUGAAUUGAAUUUAACAGAAGAAGAAUUGCACAAAGUAGUCAUCCUCACCAAGUCCCGUGGCAAGACAAGAGAUGAGGAAACUGAGGCCGAGAUCGUAAGUCAGCCAGCAUCAUACAUACUGUUAGUAUGCAUUUGCACUCAAGUUCUCCUCACUCCAGAACUUGUACUCUAUCCAGCUCUCUACUGUAGCUAGCCACCAUGAUAAUUCAUAUCCCUCCUCUUUUCACUGCUUGCACAACAAUCAUCCUAGGUCUGGCUGUUAUCACUUCUUGCUUAGGUUAUUACAGUGGCCUCCUAAUUGUUCUCCCUGUUUCCAUUUUCUCAGCACUCUAAUCCCUCUUUCUCACAUAGUGUUUUUCCUAAAGUGGCGGCUCCCUAUUGACCAUAGGUCACAUUAUUUCAUCUUUAUUCCAUCCUUUUAAAAUUUCUGCUUUUAUGUUUUAUAAUGUAAAUAAUUACUGACACAGUGGUACAUGCAUAUAAUUUGUAAAUAAGUCAAUUUGCAAAUAUAUAUAUAUAUAAGGCAUGUACACCCCAAUUUUUUAAACCCUUACCAUCCACCUUAGAAUCAACGUAAUGUAUUGGUUCCAAAGCAGAAGAGUGGUAAGGGCUAGGCAAGGGGGUAAGUGACUUGUCCAAGGUCACACAGCUAGGAAGUAUCA
This is a non-coding RNA of Monodelphis domestica (gray short-tailed opossum), 947 nucleotides long. Lineage: Eukaryota; Metazoa; Chordata; Mammalia; Didelphimorphia; Didelphidae. The record is from RefSeq and is a predicted model, not a curated record.